AAUUCCCUACGGGGGGCAGCAGUGAGGAAUAUUGGUCAAUGGCCGGAAGGCUGAACCAGCCAAGCCGCGUGAAGGACGAAGGUGCCAAGCAUUGUAAACUUCUUUUGUCAAGGGACAAAAUCAGGCUCGAGAGCCUGACCGAGGGUACUUGAAGAAAAAGCAUCGGCUAACUCCGUGCCAGCAGCCGCGGUAAUACGGAGGAUGCGAGCGUUAAUCGGAAUUACUGGGCGUAAAGGGUGUGCAGGCGGUUUUUCAAGA
RNAcentral lists this ribosomal RNA (258 nucleotides) under uncultured bacterium. RNAcentral's name for it is "partial 16S ribosomal RNA". It matches the Rfam family "Bacterial small subunit ribosomal RNA", at positions 333 to 588 of the family's 1533-position model. The record is from RNAcentral.